UACGAGGGGUGCAAACGUUAUUCGGAAUCACUGGGCGUAAAGGGUGUGUAGACGGUAAAACAAGUCAGUUAUAAAAUCUCUUGGCUUAACCAAGAACCUGUAACCGAAACUGUUUUGCUUGAGGAUGGAAGAGAGAAGCGGAAUUCUCGGAGUAGCGGUAAAAUGCGUAGAUCUCGAGAGGAACACCGAUGGCGAAGGCAGCUUCUUGGUCCAUUUCUGACGUUGAGGCACGAAAGCGUGGGGAGCAAACAGG
This 253-nucleotide ribosomal RNA is filed under the name uncultured bacterium. RNAcentral describes it as "partial 16S ribosomal RNA". It matches the Rfam family "Bacterial small subunit ribosomal RNA", at positions 524 to 776 of the family's 1533-position model. The record is from RNAcentral.